GCUAUGGCUCAGCUGGUAGAGUAUGGCACUAGCGACGCCAAGGUUGUGGGUUCGUUUCCCAGGGAACA
This 68-nucleotide transfer RNA is filed under the name Megalops atlanticus (tarpon). RNAcentral's name for it is "tRNA-Ala". The record is from RNAcentral. Lineage: Eukaryota; Metazoa; Chordata; Actinopteri; Elopiformes; Megalopidae.